GAUGAACGCUGGCGGCGUGCUUAACACAUGCAAGUCGAACGGAAAGGCUCCUGCUUGCAGGGGUACUCGAGUGGCGAACGGGUGAGUAACACGUGGGUGAUCUGCCCUGCACUUCGGGAUAAGCCUGGGAAACUGGGUCUAAUACCGGAUAGGACCACAUUUUGGAUGGUGUGGUGGAAAGUUUUUCGGUGUGGGAUGAGCUCGCGGCCUAUCAGCUUGUUGGUGGGGUAAUGGCCUACCAAGGCGUCGACGGGUAGCCGGCCUGAGAGGGUGUACGGCCACAUUGGGACUGAGAUACGGCCCAGACGCCUACGGGAGGCAGCAGUGGGGAAUAUUGCACAAUGGGCGCAAGCCUGAUGCAGCGACGCCGCGUGGGGGAUGACGGCCUUCGGGUUGUAAACUGCUUUCGCUAGGGACGAAGCGGAAGUGACGGUACCUGGAGAAGAAGCACCGGCUAACUACGUG
RNAcentral lists this ribosomal RNA (465 nucleotides) under uncultured bacterium. Its description in RNAcentral is "partial 16S ribosomal RNA". It matches the Rfam family "Bacterial small subunit ribosomal RNA", at positions 28 to 507 of the family's 1533-position model. The record is from RNAcentral.